Molecule: ribosomal RNA, 274 nt
Filed under: uncultured bacterium
Lineage: Bacteria
Description: partial 16S ribosomal RNA
Rfam family: Bacterial small subunit ribosomal RNA
Source: RNAcentral
AUACGAAGGGGGCUAGCGUUGUUCGGAAUUACUGGGCGUAAAGCGCGCGUAGGCGGAUUGGUCAGUUAGGGGUGAAAUCCCAGGGCUUAACCCUGGAACUGCCUCUAAUACUGCCAGUCUUGAGUUCGGGAGAGGUGAGUGGAAUUCCUAGUGUAGAGGUGAAAUUCGUAGAUAUUAGGAAGAACACCAGUGGCGAAGGCGGCUCACAGGCCCGAUACUGACGCUGAGGCGCGAAAGCGUGGGGAGCAAACAGAAUUAGAUACCCUAGUAGUCC